GGACAGGUGGCCGAGCGGUCGAAGGCGCUCCCCUGCUAAGGGAGUAGAGGGGCAACCCUCUCGUGGGUUCGAAUCCCAUCCUGUCCGCCA
RNAcentral lists this transfer RNA (90 nucleotides) under Paracoccaceae bacterium. RNAcentral describes it as "tRNA-Ser". It matches the Rfam family "tRNA". Rfam says of the family: Transfer RNA (tRNA) molecules are approximately 80 nucleotides in length. Their secondary structure includes four short double-helical elements and three loops (D, anti-codon, and T loops). Further hydrogen bonds mediate the characteristic L-shaped molecular structure. tRNAs have two regions of fundamental functional importance: the anti-codon, which is responsible for specific mRNA codon recognition, and the 3' end, to which the tRNAs corresponding amino acid is attached (by aminoacyl-tRNA synthetases). tRNAs cope with the degeneracy of the genetic code in two manners: having more than one tRNA (with a specific anti-codon) for a particular amino acid; and 'wobble' base-pairing, i.e. permitting non-standard base-pairing at the 3rd anti-codon position. Lineage: Bacteria; Pseudomonadati; Pseudomonadota; Alphaproteobacteria; Rhodobacterales; Paracoccaceae. RNAcentral also lists the same sequence under 3 other names. The record is from RNAcentral.